GAGGAGAUGGUGGAGGAGGAUGGAGCUCUGUUCUUGGGUGGGGAGGGGAUUAAAGACAGCCCGAGGAGCUGGGUCUUUCCUGGGCAUAGCCCCCACCACCCCCCCCAACCCUCUUCCAUUCCCUCACCAUCCUCAUCUGCCUCAGCACCCUGUAGCCUCCCCGCCAUUACAGCCCAUUCUCCGCCGCUGGGUCUCCCUCCGCCCGCCUCUGGCCCUGCCACAGACUUCCACUGCCCCUGCUCCGGUUGCCAUGGUGACCCUCCCUCCUCCGCUGCCCCGGUAGCCAUCGUGAGCCCCGCCCAUCCCUGCCCCAGUUGCCAUGGUGACCCACCGCCCGCCCCUGACCCGGUUGCCAUGGUGACAAUGCCUGUUUACCGCUGACGGACUGACAUGGCGUCCCCUCUGGAGCGGGAGGCGGCCGAGUACCUGACGGAACAUCAGAUCCUGGAGCUGCUCGACAACCUGGUCAGCAUGUUGCUGUACGAGCGGCCAGCAAAGCCAUUGGAGUUUUUAGUACAGCAACUGGAAAAACUGAAGACUGCCAGAGACACUAAGAAGGACUAUCCUUCCUUGUUUGAUGAGUCAAAUUUAGAUGCUGUGUUUGGGAUUUUAGAUCCUACAAAGCAAGGACAUGUAACUUUGAGGCAGUAUAGAGAAGCUUUGAAAACCCUAGGAAUAAAGGAUUUUGAAAUGGACCCGAAGGGUGCUGAAGAUGAUAAAAUAACUCUGGAAACAUUCAAAACAGAGGCGAGGAACCUGUUUCUAAUGUCUAACAUCAGCCAGAAGUUCUGCGAACUGAAAAGCUAAAGGUUUUCAAGCUACGGAAUUUUCCUUUGAGCGAAAAUAAAUUACUGACUCGUCUCCUAAAAGAACAGGAGCAGACUGUACAGCACCUUAAGCCUGUCCUGCCAUUCAAUGAGAUCAUGGCUGACCUGUGGCCCUGCUCCAUAUACCUGCCUCUGGCCUAAAUCUCUUAAUAUACAGUUAUCUAUCACAGAUUUAAAAUUAAUAACGGAUCUAGCGUCAAUUGCUGUUUCUGGAAAAGACUUCCAAACUGUUGGGUGAAGAAGUUCUUCCUGACAUCUCAUUUUCGUCAUGUUCUUAACUUAGUGAAAUCACUUCAGUGACAAAUAAAAUUCGCUCUUAUUUGAA
Chiloscyllium plagiosum (whitespotted bambooshark) is the source of this 1152-nucleotide RNA transcript. It is a transcript of the gene named EF-hand calcium binding domain 10, with no coding region annotated. NCBI's taxonomy places the organism in Eukaryota, Metazoa, Chordata, Chondrichthyes, Orectolobiformes, Hemiscylliidae. The record is from RefSeq and is a predicted model, not a curated record.